UGCACCACACCCACUGAUAGUGUAUUCAGUAUAACCCGCUGUGUUGGCAGGUGUGUUAUGCACUUUACACUGUGCACUGCUCGUCUCUGGUCCCGAAAAUACCAACAGUCACAAGCCGCACCCGGUGCACCAUGUCACACCUUAAUAGCAAAGUAAAACUGCACCACAACUACAGGAAAGGCUCAAUGCAACAAGAGAGACACCAGUUUUUCCAGUGAAACAGUGGCUAUGAUCUGCUGGCCUAAAAUGUUGUGUAUCUGCAAAAAAGCCCUUGCUGCACACUAUUAACAAGAAAAGACUCCAGUGGGCCAAGCACCAUCAAUACUGGACCAAGAAAGUUUGGUAAAAGGCAUAUAUAUAUAUAUAUAUAUAUAUAUAUAUAUAUAUAUAUAUAUAUAUAUAUAUAUAUAUAUAUAUAUA
Long non-coding RNA from Anguilla rostrata (American eel), 420 nucleotides. RefSeq lists it as uncharacterized. The transcript is spliced from 2 exons. The record is from RefSeq and is a predicted model, not a curated record. NCBI's taxonomy places the organism in Eukaryota, Metazoa, Chordata, Actinopteri, Anguilliformes, Anguillidae.